RNAcentral lists this transfer RNA (76 nucleotides) under Tenacibaculum sp. SZ-18. RNAcentral describes it as "tRNA-Cys". It matches the Rfam family "tRNA". Rfam says of the family: Transfer RNA (tRNA) molecules are approximately 80 nucleotides in length. Lineage: Bacteria; Pseudomonadati; Bacteroidota; Flavobacteriia; Flavobacteriales; Flavobacteriaceae. RNAcentral also lists the same sequence under 1 other name. The record is from RNAcentral.
AACAAGGUGGCUGAAAGGUUAAGGCAGCGGACUGCAACUCCGUUUUUUAUGAGUUCGAAUCUCAUCCUUGUUUCAA